This 23-nucleotide microRNA is filed under the name Gadus morhua (Atlantic cod). RNAcentral describes it as "gmo-miR-152-5p". Its record names the gene gmo-miR-152-5p. Lineage: Eukaryota; Metazoa; Chordata; Actinopteri; Gadiformes; Gadidae. The record is from miRBase by way of RNAcentral.
AAGUUCUGUGAUACACUCGGACU